This 442-nucleotide long non-coding RNA is filed under the name Elaeis guineensis (African oil palm). RNAcentral's name for it is "long non-coding RNA (EGUI_LNC013650)". Lineage: Eukaryota; Viridiplantae; Streptophyta; Magnoliopsida; Arecales; Arecaceae. The record is from RNAcentral.
CUCGAUCUUCGGCCCAUAUAUUGAAGACUUAUUGUGCGGGCCCGAUUCCUGACCCACUACCAGGCCUACCACACCUCCUCGUGCUGUGGCCGGGUCUGCAUCCCGGGCUCAGCUCCUAGCCCGUUUAAGAGAGAGCCUAGCCACCUCUAUCAUGUAGUGGUCCUUUGGGCUUGGGCUUUCCAAUAGGCCCACCUCCAUAGCAUCCGAACUUGGGCCCAACUUUGUCAGCACAUUAAACCCAGAUCCGAACUCGCCCACCUUGCCUUAGUUAGCAUCUGAGUCAUCCCUAGCUUUCACCGACGAUUAUCGUCGGGCAACCUUGGUCAGCUUUUGCUAAUCGUUGGAGUUCGAUGGUGAUUUCGAUGAGCUCUCCAUUUGUCGAGGAGAAUUGGGACGAGAUGGAGAGGAGCUGGAGGCCGAGAAAUCGGGGUUGGAGUUUGCC